GAUGAAGAACGUAGCGAAAUGCGAUAAGUAGUGUGAAUUGCAGAAUUCAGUGAAUCAUCGAAUCUUUGAACGCACAUUGCGCCCCUUGGUAUUCCAUGGGGCAUGCCUGUCCGAGCGUCAUUACAACCCUCAAGCUCAGCUUGGUGUUGGGCCCCGCCGCCCCGGCGGGCCCUAAAGUCAGUGGCGGUGCCGUCCGGCUCCGAGCGUAGUAAUUCUUCUCGCUCUGGAGGUCCGGUCGUGUGCUCGCCAGCAACCCCCAAUUUUUUUCAGGUUGACCUCGGAUCAGGUAGGGAUACCCGCUGAACUUAAGCAUAUCAAUAAGCGGAGGA
Molecule: unclassified non-coding RNA, 329 nt
Filed under: soil metagenome
Description: partial contains 5.8S ribosomal RNA, internal transcribed spacer 2, and large subunit ribosomal RNA
Rfam family: 5.8S ribosomal RNA (bases 1-120)
Source: RNAcentral